This 253-nucleotide ribosomal RNA is filed under the name uncultured bacterium. RNAcentral's name for it is "partial 16S ribosomal RNA". It matches the Rfam family "Bacterial small subunit ribosomal RNA", at positions 524 to 776 of the family's 1533-position model. The record is from RNAcentral.
UACAGAGGUCUCAAGCGUUGUUCGGAUUCAUUGGGCGUAAAGGGCGCGCAGGCGGCGCGGUAAGUCGGGUGUGAAAUCUCGGAGCUUAACUCCGAAACUGCAUUCGAUACUGCCGUGCUUGAGGACUGGAGAGGAGACUGGAAUUUACGGUGUAGCGGUGAAAUGCGUAGAUAUCGUAAGGAAGACCAGUGGCGAAGGCGGGUCUCUGGACAGUUCCUGACGCUGAGGCACGAAGGCCAGGGGAGCAAACGGG